RNAcentral lists this long non-coding RNA (258 nucleotides) under Solanum pimpinellifolium. Its description in RNAcentral is "long non-coding RNA (SPIM_LNC000146)". The record is from RNAcentral. Lineage: Eukaryota; Viridiplantae; Streptophyta; Magnoliopsida; Solanales; Solanaceae.
UCUGCUAUUAAGAGGGAGCAGUAGAUCGUCGAUUGAAGAGCCAGGUCAGUCAACUUCUAUUGGGACUUCUAUUGAUUAUUAAUUCGACUCUAGGUCAUAGCACCAGUACUUGAACGCUUACUCUUACUGCUCUUCUCAGGUUUACCUUUUUUGGAUGCCCUGAGGUUUGAAGUCAUUUGUUUAUCACAGAACAAGUCCCCCUCAGUCACUGCCAUAGUUGACCCUUUCUUCCAGAUCCUCGCUUCUAUGAGCCAAAUC